Molecule: ribosomal RNA, 929 nt
Filed under: uncultured bacterium
Lineage: Bacteria
Description: bacterial SSU rRNA
Rfam family: Bacterial small subunit ribosomal RNA
Source: RNAcentral
ACGCUGGCGGCAGGCUUAACACAUGCAAGUCGAACGGUAACAGGAAUUAGCUUGCUAAUUUGCUGACGAGUGGCGGACGGGUGAGUAAUGCUUGGGAAUCUGGCUUAUGGAGGGGGAUAACUACGGGAAACUGUAGCUAAUACCGCGUAAAAUCUUCGGAUUAAAGGGUGGGACUUUCGAGCCACCUGCCAUAAGAUGAGCCCAAGUGGGAUUAGGUAGUUGGUUAGGUAAAGGCUGACCAAGCCGAUGAUCUCUAGCUGGUCUGAGAGGAUGACCAGCCACACUGGAACUGAGACACGGUCCAGACUCCUACGGGAGGCAGCAGUGGGGAAUAUUGCACAAUGGGGGGAACCCUGAUGCAGCCAUGCCGCGUGAAUGAAGAAGGCCUUCGGGUUGUAAAGUUCUUUCGGUGACGAGGAAGGUUGAUAGGUUAAUAGCCUAUCAAAUUGACGUUAAUCACAGAAGAAGCACCGGCUAACUCCGUGCCAGCAGCCGCGGUAAUACGGGGGGUGCGAGCGUUAAUCGGAAUAACUGGGCGUAAAGGGCACGCAGGCGGUGACUUAAGUGAGAUGUGAAAGCCCCGAGCUUAACUUGGGAAUUGCAUUUCAUACUGGGUCGCUAGAGUACUUUAGGGAGGGGUAGAAUUCCACGUGUAGCGGUGAAAUGCGUAGAGAUGUGGAGGAAUACCGAAGGCGAAGGCAGCCCCUUGGGGAUGUACUGACGCUCAUGUGCGAAAGCGUGGGGAGCAAACAGGAUUAGAUACCCUGGUAGUCCACGCUGUAAACGAUGUCGAUUUGGGGAUUGGGCUUUGAGCUUGGUGCCCGUAGCUAACGUGAUAAAUCGACCGCCUGGGGAGUACGGCCGCAAGGUUAAAACUCAAAUGAAUUGACGGGGGCCCGCACAAGCGGUGGAGCAUGUGGUUUAAUUCG